RNAcentral lists this ribosomal RNA (255 nucleotides) under uncultured bacterium. Its description in RNAcentral is "partial 16S ribosomal RNA". It matches the Rfam family "Bacterial small subunit ribosomal RNA", at positions 524 to 776 of the family's 1533-position model. The record is from RNAcentral.
UACGGGGGGGAGCAAGCGUUGUUCGGAUUUACUGGGCGUAAAGGGCGCGUAGGCGGUCGUGACAAGUCACUUGUGAAAUCUCCGGGCUUAACUCGGAACGGUCAAGUGAUACUGUCGGACUAGAGUACAGAAGGGGCAACUGGAAUUCUCGGUGUAGCGGUGAAAUGCGUAGAGAUCGGGAGGAACACCUGCGGCGAAGGCGGGUUGCUGGGCUGAUACUGACGCUGAGGCGCGAAAGCCAGGGGAGCGAACAGG